Molecule: ribosomal RNA, 448 nt
Filed under: uncultured organism
Description: partial 16S ribosomal RNA
Rfam family: Bacterial small subunit ribosomal RNA
Source: RNAcentral
CACUCCUGCGGGAGGCAGCAGUGGGGAAUAUUGGACCAUGGGCGCAAGCCUGAUCCAGCCAUGCCGCGUGAGUGAUGAAGGCCCUAGGGUUGUAAAGCUCUUUCACCGGUGAAGAUAAUGACGGUAACCGGAGAAGAAGCCCCGGCUAACUUCGUGCCAGCAGCCGCGGUAAUACGAAGGGGGCUAGCGUUGUUCGGAUUUACUGGGCGUAAAGCGCACGUAGGCGGACUAUUAAGUCAGGGGUGAAAUCCCGGGGCUCAACCCCGGAACUGCCUUUGAUACUGGUAGUCUUGAGUUCGAGAGAGGUGAGUGGAAUUCCGAGUGUAGAGGUGAAAUUCGUAGAUAUUCGGAGGAACACCAGUGGCGAAGGCGGCUCACUGGCUCGAUACUGACGCUGAGGUGCGAAAGCGUGGGGAGCAAACAGGAUUAGAUACCCCAGUAGUCCCAU